AAACAUUAGUCAGAAUUGUUCUCAGAAGUCUUCGAGUCUUUAGGGCUAUGACUCUGAAGACUCAAGAGAUGCACUUUGAGUGAAGGGGUCUUCCGCUUCCUGUGGCAGGGACUCUCUGUGUUUCAUUUCAGACACCUGGGUUCAGUCAACAAAUGUCUUCCUCAAGGUCAUCAGACAAUAUAGGCAUUUUGGAAGAUGGCUCAAUUUUUACUUGUUUGCCAAUAAGUUAUCACAGCGUCCGGGAGCUUUUGUGGUGGGCAAGGUUCUCCAAGGACAUGAUGCAGGUUGUGGCCUGAGGAAGCUCACAAGUUGCUUGGGGAGACAUGGUCCCACCUCCCGCGAGUAAGCACUAUGGUGUAUUCUGGCAGUAAAGAGCAGGACUCAGACUGCAUGGUUUCCCUUUCUGGCUAUGAUCUUGGCAAGGUAAUUGACGUUUUGUGGAUUAGUUCCCUCAUCUGUGGAAUGGGGAAAUAACAGUAUUUAC
Molecule: long non-coding RNA, 484 nt
Filed under: Marmota monax (woodchuck)
Lineage: Eukaryota; Metazoa; Chordata; Mammalia; Rodentia; Sciuridae
Source: RNAcentral